This is a long non-coding RNA of Pelmatolapia mariae (spotted tilapia), 324 nucleotides long. RefSeq lists it as uncharacterized. The record is from RefSeq and is a predicted model, not a curated record. NCBI's taxonomy places the organism in Eukaryota, Metazoa, Chordata, Actinopteri, Cichliformes, Cichlidae. The transcript is spliced from 3 exons.
UGCUAAUGUAAUUGUAACCUACGUUGUUGGAGAGAGAAAUAACAUCAUGGAAGAGACAUAAAGUACCUUGUUUACGAGAACCAUCACUUUAGCAUUUGGUGUGGUCUCCAGGUGUUUUUUGGCCACAUACACUGCAGCGCGGGUCUUUCCACCUCCAGUCGGUAACCAAAUUAUGACGUUCUCUCGUUUAAGAGCCCUUUCAACCACUUCCUGCUGGCACUGCAAGUUGGUGAGGUUUUAAACUCUGUUUGGACAGGCUGCGUCACGUGGAAAUUGGAAAACGAAACCUCUAUGUUCUCAGAACAGUGGGCCUCAUGAGGGAGU